This 497-nucleotide ribosomal RNA is filed under the name uncultured bacterium. RNAcentral's name for it is "partial 16S ribosomal RNA". It matches the Rfam family "Bacterial small subunit ribosomal RNA", at positions 28 to 507 of the family's 1533-position model. The record is from RNAcentral.
GAUGAACGCUGGCGGCGUGCCUAAUACAUGCAAGUCGAGCGAACGGACGAGAAGCUUGCUUCUCUGAUGUUAGCGGCGGACGGGUGAGUAACACGUGGAUAACCUACCUAUAAGACUGGGAUAACUUCGGGAAACCGGAGCUAAUACCGGAUAAUAUUUUUAACCGCAUGGUUCAAAAUUGAAAGACGGUCUUGCUGUCACUUAUAGAUGGAUCCGCGCUGCAUUAGCUAGUUGGUAAGGUAACGGCUUACCAAGGCAACGAUGCAUAGCCGACCUGAGAGGGUGAUCGGCAACACUGGAACUGAGACACGGUCCAGACUCCUACGGGAGGCAGCAGUAGGGAAUCUUCCGCAAUGGGCGAAAGCCUGACGGAGCAACGCCGCGUGAGUGAUGAAGGUCUUCGGAUCGUAAAACUCUGUUAUUAGGGAAGAACAUAUGUGUAAGUAACUGUGCACAUCUUGACGGUACCUAAUCAGAAAGCCACGGCUAACUACGUG